UACUCGAGUGGCGAACGGGUGAGUAACACGUGGGUGAUCUGCCCUGCACUUCGGGAUAAGCUUGGGAAACUGGGUCUAAUACCGGAUAGGAACCAUCUUUAGUGUGGUGUUGGAAAGUUUUUUCGGUGUAGGAUGAGCUCGCGGCCUAUCAGCUUGUUGGUGGGGUAAUGGCCUACCAAGGCGGCGACGGGUAGCUGGCCUGAGAGGGUGUACGGCCACAUUGGGACUGAGAUACGGCCCAG
This 242-nucleotide ribosomal RNA is filed under the name uncultured Actinomycetales bacterium. RNAcentral's name for it is "partial 16S ribosomal RNA". It matches the Rfam family "Bacterial small subunit ribosomal RNA", at positions 88 to 334 of the family's 1533-position model. The record is from RNAcentral. Lineage: Bacteria; Bacillati; Actinomycetota; Actinomycetes; Actinomycetales.